RNAcentral lists this transfer RNA (69 nucleotides) under Bufonaria rana. Its description in RNAcentral is "tRNA-Phe". It matches the Rfam family "tRNA". Rfam says of the family: Transfer RNA (tRNA) molecules are approximately 80 nucleotides in length. Their secondary structure includes four short double-helical elements and three loops (D, anti-codon, and T loops). Further hydrogen bonds mediate the characteristic L-shaped molecular structure. tRNAs have two regions of fundamental functional importance: the anti-codon, which is responsible for specific mRNA codon recognition, and the 3' end, to which the tRNAs corresponding amino acid is attached (by aminoacyl-tRNA synthetases). tRNAs cope with the degeneracy of the genetic code in two manners: having more than one tRNA (with a specific anti-codon) for a particular amino acid; and 'wobble' base-pairing, i.e. permitting non-standard base-pairing at the 3rd anti-codon position. The record is from RNAcentral. Lineage: Eukaryota; Metazoa; Mollusca; Gastropoda; Littorinimorpha; Bursidae.
GCUUUGGUAGCUUAAAUAUAUAGAGCAUAGCACUGAAGAUGCUAAGGUAGCACAUUAUGCUUCAAGGCA